CGCCAGUGAAUAUUAUCAUUUAUCCAUUUUCAUAACAGUCCUCUACUCAUGAAUAUGACUAAUUUUAUGAUGUCGGUGAUGAUUACGAAAACCUUAAACAUUAACAGCAGUUUUACUAAUGUUUGCGACACGCGAAAACCGAAGAAAAUACUAAAAUAAGGACGUUUAUUGAUGAAAAGAUGCGGUGGAGAUAAAAUUUAAUGAGAAUUAAUUGGGUAGGUUUUAUUACAACCUUGUAUGAAAGUUAUUUAAUUAAAAAAUUCUAAAAUAAAUGAAGCUAUUUCAAAAAUA
Long non-coding RNA from Bombyx mori (domestic silkworm), 291 nucleotides. RefSeq lists it as uncharacterized. The record is from RefSeq and is a predicted model, not a curated record. NCBI's taxonomy places the organism in Eukaryota, Metazoa, Arthropoda, Insecta, Lepidoptera, Bombycidae. The transcript is spliced from 2 exons.